AAUGAAACCAGAUAUGACUUAGUGGCGGACGGGUGAGUAACACGUGAGCAACCUGCCUUUCAGAGGGGGAUAACGGCUGGAAACGGUCGCUAAUACCGCAUGACGUGUUCGGAUGGCAUCAUCUGAACAUCAAAGAUUUAUCGCUUAUGGAUGGACUCGCGUCAGAUUAGAUAGUUGGUGAGGUAACGGCCCACCAAGGCUGCGAUCGGUAGGGGUUCUGAGAGGAAGGCCCCCACAAUGGGACUGAGACACGGCCCAUACUCC
This 264-nucleotide ribosomal RNA is filed under the name uncultured bacterium. RNAcentral describes it as "partial 16S ribosomal RNA". It matches the Rfam family "Bacterial small subunit ribosomal RNA", at positions 65 to 339 of the family's 1533-position model. The record is from RNAcentral.